AGCAGCCGCGGUAAUUCCAGCUCCAAUAGCGUAUAUUAAAGUUGUUGCAGUUAAAAAGCUCGUAGUUGAAUUUCGGGAUCAAUACGUCGGUCGUGCCUUCGGUACGUACUGGUGUUAUUGAUCCCUCCCUUCUGAUGAAUCAUGAUGUCAUUAAUUUGGUGUCGUGGGGAGUCAGGACUGUUACUUUGAAAAAAUUAGAGUGUUUAAAGCAGGCUCACGCUUGAAUACAUUAGCAUGGAAUAAUGAAAUAGGACGUUCGAUCCUAUUUUGUUGGUUUCUAGGAUCAACGUAAUGAUUAAUAGGGAUAGUUGGGGGCAUUAGUAUUCAAUUGUCAGAGGUGAAAUUCUUGGAUUUAUUGAAGACUAACUACUGCGAAAGCAUUUGCCAAGGAUGUUUUCAUUAAUCAAGAACGAAAGUUAGGGGAUCGAAGACGAUCAGAUACCGUCGUAG
This 450-nucleotide ribosomal RNA is filed under the name uncultured Glomeromycotina. RNAcentral's name for it is "SSU rRNA". It matches the Rfam family "Eukaryotic small subunit ribosomal RNA", at positions 569 to 1023 of the family's 1831-position model. Lineage: Eukaryota; Fungi; Glomeromycota. The record is from RNAcentral.